Long non-coding RNA from Strongylocentrotus purpuratus (purple sea urchin), 444 nucleotides. RefSeq lists it as uncharacterized. The transcript has 3 exons. The record is from RefSeq and is a predicted model, not a curated record. NCBI's taxonomy places the organism in Eukaryota, Metazoa, Echinodermata, Echinoidea, Camarodonta, Strongylocentrotidae.
AGGAAUCGAACCGUUCCCUCUUGUAAUCCCGAUCUGGUUUUCCUUGAAGAACCUCAGAAUUUAGAAGUAGCUGAAGGAGAUCUAUUCCAGCCGGGGUGCCGGGUCAGCGACCAAGAUGCAACCCUGACAUGGCUCAAAGAUGGGCAAAGGUUGGAUUCAGGUGCUGUAGACGGUAUCUUCAUCAACCAUCUCAACCAACUAAUCAUUCCAAGCUUCGAUGCACGACACGGAGGAAACUACUCGUGCGUUGUAUACUCUGGAGACAGGGAAUGCAUAAGAUCAGAGGCCAGUAUAACUUUCGACCCCCGAAGCUACUUCGAAUUCGUUCCCGUGAAUGCGUAUGUCGAUAUCGGUGACGAUCAUCAGUUCCUGUGCUCUCCCAUAGAAAACACAUGGACUGUCAUCUGGGAGAAGGAUGGGCGACCGCUGGAACAAGGAAACCUU